AUUGAACGCUGGCGGAAUGCUUUACACAUGCAAGUCGAACGGCAGCACGGACUUCGGUCUGGUGGCGAGUGGCGAACGGGUGAGUAAUAUAUCGGAACGUGCCCAGCCGUGGGGGAUAACAUAGCGAAAACUACGCUAAUACCGCAUACGAUCUACGGAUGAAAGCGGGGGAUCGCAAGACCUCGCGCGAUUGGAGCGGCCGAUAUCAGAUUAGGUAGUUGGUGAGGUAAAGGCUCACCAAGCCGACGAUCUGUAGCUGGUCUGAGAGGACGACCAGCCACACUGGGACUGAGACACGACCCAGACUCCUACGGGAGGCAGCAGUGGGGAAUUUUGGACAAUGGACGCAAGUCUGAUCCAGCCAUUCCGCGUGCAGGACGAAGGCCUUCGGGUUGUAAACUGCUUUUGUACAGAACGAAAAGGUCUCUAUUAAUACUAGGGGCUCAUGACGGUACUGUAAGAAUAAGCACCGGCUAACUACGUGCCAGCCGCCGCGGUAA
This 500-nucleotide ribosomal RNA is filed under the name uncultured bacterium. RNAcentral describes it as "partial 16S ribosomal RNA". It matches the Rfam family "Bacterial small subunit ribosomal RNA", at positions 30 to 523 of the family's 1533-position model. The record is from RNAcentral.